CCUACGGGGGGCAGCAGUGGGGAAUAUUGCACAAUGGGGGAAACCCUGAUGCAGCGACGCCGCGUGAGUGAAGAAGUAUUUCGGUACGUAAAGCUCUAUCAGCAGGGGAGAAAAACCGGCCUUAGGGCCGCCAGACGGUACCUGACUAAGAAGCCCCGGCUAACUACGUGCCAGCAGCCGCGGUAAUACGUAGGGGGCAAGCGUUAUCCGGGUUUACUGGGGGUAAAGGGGGCGUAGACGGCAGCGCAAGGCUGGAGUGAAAUGCCGGGGCCCAACCCCGGAACUGCUUUGGAUACUGUUCGGCUGGAGUGCAGGAGAGGUAAGCGGAAUAAGUAGUGUAGCGGUGAAAUGCGUAGAUAUUAGGAGGAACACCAGUGGCGAAGGCGGCUUACUGGACUGUAACUGACGUUGAGGCUCGAAAGCGUGGGGAGCAAACAGGAUUAGAUACCCGGGUAGUC
Molecule: ribosomal RNA, 458 nt
Filed under: uncultured bacterium
Lineage: Bacteria
Description: partial 16S ribosomal RNA
Rfam family: Bacterial small subunit ribosomal RNA
Source: RNAcentral